This 234-nucleotide ribosomal RNA is filed under the name Salmonella enterica subsp. enterica serovar Infantis. RNAcentral's name for it is "partial 16S ribosomal RNA". It matches the Rfam family "Bacterial small subunit ribosomal RNA", at positions 1 to 231 of the family's 1533-position model. Lineage: Bacteria; Pseudomonadati; Pseudomonadota; Gammaproteobacteria; Enterobacterales; Enterobacteriaceae. The record is from RNAcentral.
AAAUUGAAGAGUUUGAUCAUGGCUCAGAUUGAACACUGGCGGCAGGCCUAACACAUGCAAGUCGAACGGUAACAGGAAGCAGCUUGCUGCUUUGCUGACGAGUGGCGGACGGGUGAGUAAUGUCUGGGAAACUGCCUGAUGGAGGGGGAUAACUACUGGAAACGGUGGCUAAUACCGCAUAACGUCGCAAGACCAAAGAGGGGGACCUUCGGGCCUCUUGCCAUCAGAUGUGCC